Heterocephalus glaber (naked mole-rat) is the source of this 1737-nucleotide non-coding RNA. Lineage: Eukaryota; Metazoa; Chordata; Mammalia; Rodentia; Bathyergidae. The record is from RefSeq and is a predicted model, not a curated record.
AAUUUCUUUUUUACAGAUUUGGAGAUUUAAGUCUAAGGUGCAGGCAUAAUUAUGUUCUUGGGAGGACCUUUUUCUGGGUUUUGGAUUGCUGUCUCCUUAUAUACUCACCUGGUGGAAAGAGAGCUUUCUAGUUCUGGCAUCUCUUCUGAUAAGGGUACUAGUCCCAUUUUUGAGGGCUCCCACAGGCUCUUCCCCAAGUGCCAUCACAUUGGGAUAAAGGUUUCAACGUGAGAAUUUUUUUGGUUUUUUGAGGCAGCGUCUCCCUUUGUAGUUCAGGUUGGCCCUGAACUCACUAUGUAGCCCAGGAUGGCAUUGAACUCACAGUGAUCCUCCUGCCUCAUUCUCCCGAGUGCUGGGAUUACAGGUGUGCACCACCAUGCCCAUCUCAACAUGAGAAUUUUAAGGGACAUAUUUAUUCCUUUGCAGAUAUACAUUAUAUAUAAUCUGGGGGCUUUUCUUUUACUAAGAGGCAUUCAUAUUUUUGUAGGUAACUGAGUCAUUCAUCUUCAGUGCUGUAUACUAUUUCAUUGUGUGAAUUAAUCUGGCCUUCUGGACACCAGAGUUUAGGCUUUCAUAUUUCUUGCUUUAAUGAACACCACUAAAGUGGAUAUUCACUUUUGUGUCUGUAUUUCUUUGUGAGCACUUGCUGAAAUUUUACUCCAUUUAUACCUAGGAAUGGAAUGCUGGUUGCAAGUUGUGUGACUUUUCAAUUUGCAAGAUAAUUUGAGACUAUUUUCCAAAGCAGUGGCAGCAAUUUAUACUGUAACCACCAAUGUAUAAAUUAUUCAUCUAUUCUCUUGAGUAGUUUCUGUUUCCAGAUUCAUGUUUUUAAGUGAAUGGAUAUAAAUUUUUAUCUCUUCAUAGUCUUGAUUUGCUUUUCCUAGAUUAGUUAUGAGGAAAUAAUUAGAGGAACUGGAAAAUAAUUAUUAUCCAUAUGAAAUUUAACUCAGAUUUUUAUCUUACAUCAGACAUGCAAAUCAAUUCCAGAUGGAUUAAGGACUCAGCGUUUUAAAACUAUCAGUGAAUGCCAUUAGAUUUUGAGACAAAGUUACCCAAAGUAAGUUAGAUUACAUUUCCUGUUCAAAAAGUCAUCCUUAUAUAAAGCAUUUCAAGUGGAUGAAUACAUCAUUUAGGGAGAGAUGAGGACAGCUGUACAGCUAAUCCCUUUUCCCCACUUGGAGAAUGACAGAUGGGGUCAUGAGGAGUAUUGCUUCCGAGCCCUGGGAACCCCUGCAGCAGGUGUUGGUAAUCUGGGGUUGAUUGGUACAGCAGCUCAAUUACAUCAGAGAUCCAAGAUUCUUCUGUCUUUUUGCUGCCAUCCUCAGGAAGGAAUAAAAGAUAACACAGAAGUGGCUCUUUGGUCUCGGUGGCACAAGCAAGAUGAUGAAGGGAAUGUCAUCGUUUGGAAAGCGUUGUAAUAAGAUGCACACGCUGUGCCUCCGCUGUGGCUCUAGGGUCUACCACCCUCAGAAGACGCCCUGUGGCAAAUGUAGCUACCCUGCCAAGCGCAAGAGAAAGUAUAACUGGAGUGCAAAGGCUAAAAAAAGACGAGAAAACUGAGACUCCCGGAGGCUCUGGAGAACCCAAGAGCCAACGAAGAGUGAACUCUCUGGGGCUUCGGUGGUGACGCCAGACAUUUCCGUGGGUCAGGUUGUCAGGGUGCGCGGGGAAAGUGGCGAGUAAACAUUUGGGGCUGUAACCCGGGCUCUGGCGACAAGUCGUCACUGCGGUUCCCAG